AGAUUUUAUACCCAGUGAAAGUCCACCAGAAGACAACAUUUACAUCAGGCAGAGGUGCCUGAAACAAGGUGCCAUGUGGGACACCGGGAUCUCCAGUGACAAUAACCCAGUGGUUCAAGUCUUCUUCAGCUCGAUGGCUAUCGAUGGCAGUGAUUUCAUGCUCUCUUCCAAAUGCUGUCCAGAAGGAGUAUUUCUGAAGUGCGGCUAAAGCCUGAUUUGUACGGCUAAGACUCCAGUGUACUGAAUCAAUACAAGACACUACAUCAGCAAAUGUGACAUAAGAACAUAAUAUGCUGGAAAUACAUCUGCAGAUGUCAGCAGCGGAGAAACGAAAAGACAGGCUACUUAAGGGUAUAAUUCUCAGGUUCCAACACUGAAUAUUAUAUGGCACAAUCUGAUAAAAGGACUUGCUCCUUUAUUGUAGUAUUUUCCAAAUGCAACAGAAAUUGAUGGCUUGUUAAUUUUCACCUCAAAAAGGGUUCAAAAAUGAAAUUGUGGAAUGAUUUCUAUGCAAUAGAGCUAAAAGCCUGGAUUCUCAGCUAUUACCAACCAACUGGGUGGCUGUUUGCAAGAGGUAGAUUCCCACCGGACUAGAGCAGGUUUGCAUAAUGAUGCAUUUUCCUGUGGGUGGGACCAGUGUUGGUAGGAAUAUAUAUUUUAAUAACCAUUUGGGUUCUGACAAAAUAUUUCAGGAUUUAUAGCAUGCAGGAAGCCAGGCAUUAAUUAUUUACUGCAAAUAUUUACUGCCCACCAGCAACCUUGGGUGUCUGUUUGUAAUGUGCAUAAUAUAUUUUUCGCAUGCUUUUUGAAAGUGAAUUAGCGAGCCAUCAAUUUUUGGUAUACCUUGAAUUCUGAUACAAAAUUUAAGUGCGGUGAUAAUUACAAGAAUUCACCUAUAAUGUAAGAUGUGCAUUUAGUACCUUUUUAAUGAUGUAUUUAUUUCUUUUUGCACACU
Long non-coding RNA from Carcharodon carcharias (great white shark), 955 nucleotides. RefSeq lists it as uncharacterized. NCBI's taxonomy places the organism in Eukaryota, Metazoa, Chordata, Chondrichthyes, Lamniformes, Lamnidae. The transcript is spliced from 3 exons. The record is from RefSeq and is a predicted model, not a curated record.